GUAACACUCUGGGAGGGCUCAGGCCACAUCACGAAAUGUGACAGGAUAGCCUUGAACUCAUCAAUUGCUGGGGGCACCUCAAACUCAACUCCAAAAUUGAUCUAAUGAACUUUCCCAAACCACAUUCCCUUCUUGCAUUUCUGAGAGAAUGGAUUCCCAUUCAUCUGACUACAGUGCUACCCUGAAAGCAGAUCCAGAGACUAAGAUUCACCUGCAGGUGAUUCAUUUGCAAGGUAAGCUGUCAUCAGUUGGAGGUAAGCGGAAGACAGUAGAGAGUACAGAGCCCUGGACUGUGACUCAGAGGAUGAGCACCAGAUCCAGUUUGCUGUGCCACAGUGUCCUGAAGAUUUUCCUCAGAUAAUCUUUCAUCUCUUUGUUCCUGAGACUAUAUAUUAGAGGAUUACAGAGUGGUGUUAUCACAGAAAAGAACAAGUGGAUUUUUAUCUGAGAUCUACAACUUAUGAAGAAUACAAAUGAUGUAUAUUCUUUUCUACUCUUCAUGUAUGGACUAGAGGGGCUUGCACAGUAGUAAGAAAAAAAUGGCUGAGACCCACAGGAACAAAGAAACAGGACAGGAGUUAGAUGCAGAGAAGAGAUUUCAACAAAAGUUUGGAAAAGAUGCUAACGGUAGCAUAUGAGUCACAGACAGAACAUUGGCACCUUUGUUUAAGAAACUGAAUGUUAAUGUCACAUCUGCCUUUGGAGAUUACAAAUGAAAUGGCUACCUUUCUACUGGAACCCUGACCAGAAGUCUGCCAGUUAGUAAGCUGGCUUAAGAGAUCAAUCUAAAAUUUACAUAAGGCUUUUGAAAAAAAGAAAAAACCCCUGAAAUGCUCAUAGACUUCUUUGUGGAGAGGAAGAUAAUUUCUUUUGAUGGAUGCAUUGCACAGCUCUUCUUCUUACACUUUGCUGGGGCUUCGGAGAUGUUCUUGCUCACAGUGAUGGCCUUUGACCUCUACACUGCUAUCUGCCGACCCCUCCACUAUGCUACCAUCAUGAAUCAACGUCUCUGCUGUAUCCUGGUGGCUCUCUCCUGGAGGGGGGGCUUCAUUCAUUCUAUCAUACAGGAACCCAAAGGCACAGAUUGACGUUAUAAGUCCUGAUUUUUGACUUGACUUCUCAUCACCUGGAAGUGAAUAAAGCAGUAGACUUCUCUAACAUUUUGUAACACAGCAUGAAAAAAUAUAGAGUACAAAAGAUAUAUAUAUAUAAUAUGAUAAAA
RNAcentral lists this long non-coding RNA (1222 nucleotides) under Homo sapiens (human). RNAcentral's name for it is "HSALNT0379779". Lineage: Eukaryota; Metazoa; Chordata; Mammalia; Primates; Hominidae. The record is from RNAcentral.